This is a ribosomal RNA of 211 nucleotides. It matches the Rfam family "Bacterial small subunit ribosomal RNA", at positions 568 to 775 of the family's 1533-position model.
CGUGUAGGCGGUUCUGCAAGUCAGAUGUGAAAUCUCCGGGCUUAACCCGGAAGCUGCAUCUGAAACUGCAGAACUUGAGUACUGGAGAGGAUAGUGGAAUUCCUAGUGUAGCGGUAAAAAUGCGUAGAUAUUAGGAGGAACACCAGUGGCGAAGGCGGCUAAUCUGGACAGUAACUGACGCUGAGGCGCGAAAGCGUGGGGGAGCAAAACA